GAACGCUGGCGGCGUGCUUAACACAUGCAAGUCGAGCGGAAAGGCCCUUCGGGGUACUCGAGCGGCGAACGGGUGAGUAACACGUGAGCAACCUGCCCUAGGCUUUGGGAUAACCCCGGGAAACCGGGGCUAAUACCGAAUAGGACCUGGUCUCGCAUGAGGCUUGGUGGAAAGUUUUUCGGCCUGGGAUGGGCUCGCGGCCUAUCAGCUUGUUGGUGGGGUGAUGGCCUACCAAGGCGACGACGGGUAGCCGGCCUGAGAGGGCGACCGGCCACACUGGGACUGAGACACGGCCCAGACUCCUACGGGAGGCAGCAGUGGGGAAUAUUGCACAAUGGGCGGAAGCCUGAUGCAGCGACGCCGCGUGAGGGAUGACGGCCUUCGGGUUGUAAACCUCUUUCAGCAGGGACGAAGCGUAAGUGACGGUACCUGCAGAAGAAGCGCCGGCCAACUACGUGCCAGCAGCCGCGGUAAGACGUAGGGCGCGAGCGUUGUCCGGAUUUAUUGGGCGUAAAGAGCUCGUAGGCGGC
This 530-nucleotide ribosomal RNA is filed under the name Micromonospora palomenae. RNAcentral's name for it is "bacterial SSU rRNA". It matches the Rfam family "Bacterial small subunit ribosomal RNA", at positions 31 to 579 of the family's 1533-position model. The record is from RNAcentral. Lineage: Bacteria; Bacillati; Actinomycetota; Actinomycetes; Micromonosporales; Micromonosporaceae.